RNAcentral lists this ribosomal RNA (562 nucleotides) under uncultured bacterium. RNAcentral describes it as "partial 16S ribosomal RNA". It matches the Rfam family "Bacterial small subunit ribosomal RNA", at positions 355 to 1375 of the family's 1533-position model. The record is from RNAcentral.
UGGGGAAUAUUGGACAAUGGGCGCAAGCCUGAUCCAGCCAUGCCGCGUGAGUGAUGAAGGCCUUAGGGUUGUAAAGCUCUUUCGCCGACGAAGAUAAUGACGGUAGUCGGAGAAGAAGCCCCGGCUAACUUCGUGCCAGCAGCCGCGGUAAUACGAAGGGGGCUAGCGUUGUUCGGAAUCACUGGGCGUAAAGCGCACGUAGGCGGAUUGUUAAGUCAGGGGUGAAAGCCUGGAGCUCAACUCCAGAACUGCCCUUGAUACUGGCAAUCUCGAGUCCGGAAGAGGUAAGUGGAACUGCGAGUGUAGAGGUGAAAUUCGUAGAUAUUCGCAAGAACACCAGUGGCGAAGGCGGCUUACUGGUCCGGUACUGACGCUGAGGUGCGAAAAGCGUGGGGAGCAAAACAGGAUUAGAUACCCUGGUAGUCCACGCCGUAAACGAUGGAGGCUAGCCGUUGGCGAGCACGCUCGUCAGUGGCGCAGCUAACGCAUUAAGCCUCCCGCCUGGGGAGUACGGUCGCAAGAUUAAAACUUAAAUGAAUUGACGGGGUCAUAGCUGUUUCCU